RNAcentral lists this ribosomal RNA (506 nucleotides) under uncultured bacterium. RNAcentral's name for it is "bacterial SSU rRNA". It matches the Rfam family "Bacterial small subunit ribosomal RNA", at positions 899 to 1397 of the family's 1533-position model. The record is from RNAcentral.
ACUCAAAUGAAUAGACGGGAGCUCACACAAGCGGAGGAGCAUGUUGUUCAAUUCGAAGCAACGCGAAGAACCUUACCUGGGUUUGACAUGCUGGAAGUAGAAUCCUGAAAGGGAAACGAUCGGUAUCCAGUCCGGAACCAGUACAGGUGCUGCAUGGCUGUCGUCAGUUCGUGUCGUGAGACGUUAGGUUAAGUCCUGUAACGAACGAAACCCUUGUCGUCUGUUGCCACCGGGUAAUGCCGAGCACUCUGACGAGACUGCCUAUGUUAAAUGGGAGGAAGGUGGGGAUGAUGUCAAGUCAUCAUGGUCCUUAUGCCCAGGGCUACAAACGUGCUACAAUGGCCGGUACAGAGAGUCGCAAAGCCGCGAGGUGGAGCAAAUCUUCAAAACUGGCCCCAGUUCAGAUUGUAGGCUGAAACUCGCCUGCAUGAAGUUGGAUUCGCUAGUAAUCGCGGAUCAGCUACGCCGCGGUGAAUACGUUCCUGAGCUUUGUACACACCGCCCGU